UGUGAGGGGCAGGAAGGACAAAUGUCAUAAACCUGUGUGACAUUCCAGAUCCUCAAGGAACCAAGGGGCCAGUGUGACACUGUGGGAAGUUGUGGAACCAAGGGGAUUGUCAUGGCACUGUUGGGACCCAUGGAACCAAGGGGCCAAUGUGACACUCUGGGGUCUCAUGGAAACAAGAGGCCAUUGUGAGCCUGCAGGGCUGUAACACCCCCAGAACACUGAAAUGCUGGGGGGAACCAAAGGUUCCUUCCCUUGAGUUUGGUGCACAGAAGAAACACCAACCAGAUAUUCUCAACAUAGGCAGAUGCAAAGAAUAUUCUUGGUAGGAAGGGACUCACAAGGUCAUCAAGUCCAGCUCUUAAGUGAAUGGCCCACACAGGGAUUGAACCCACAGCCUUAGUGAUAUCAGCACCAUGCUCUAACCAACUGAGUUAAGAGGUCAAAAUGACACAAAAUUUACUGGCAAAAUAUAGACAAUCAAGGAACUUUGGCAAAGGGUUUAAUACAACAUCCACUUCAACACAAAACUCUUAGCAUUGACUUCAUUAACUCAGCCCAUUUAACCUAAAAACCUUUAAGCCUUAAGAUGUUAAGUUACCCAAAAAUGUUCCAGGUAAGUAGAAGAAAUAGAGAACAACAGAAAGACACAAGAUCUAAACAAAGACAUGCACAUAGGUACCAACUGCUCAGGUUCCAGCGUCGCUAAGAGAGGAACUCCAGGAGAAGGCAGGAUCCAGACCAUGGGCUGGCCUCAUGGUCUGGCUUGUAUCACCCUGGGCCUUCAUGGGCCCACCCCUGGGGUGGGACUGCCAGUUGCUUGCCCAAUCAGAGUCAAGCUGAUAGUGUGUGAUUGAUUGACAGCAAAUCAGAGCUGGGUUAGCACUGCCUGCUGUGUGAUUGAUUGAUUUAUUGACAUCUCAGCCAAUCAGACCUGGGUUAGCACCGCUCCUGCUGUGUGAUUGACAGCUCUGCCAGGGCUGGGGGCAGGGCUCCGACCCACCACAAACCAAGGCCUGACCUGGCCCCACACGGGCGUUCCGAGCAUCCCAAGGUGUCUCAGGACAUCGAUCUCAUCCAGCCUCUGACAGUGACCAUGGUGAUACUAUGGAACCUCAUAGAACUAUGGGUCAGUUGGAACAAUGAGGGUCCAAGGACACCAUGGUGACACUACAGAACCUCAUGGAACCAAGGGGCCAUGGUGACACUGUGGUGCCUCGUGGAAUCAAGGAGACUAUUGUGAAACCUGGGGGCCCCAAGGAGCCAAGGGUCCAUAGUGACCUUGUGGAGCCCAUAGUGUCACGGAGGAGCCAUUGUGACACAGCGAGGGCACAUGGAGCUGAGGGGCCAUGGUGACACAUCAGGACUUUGUGGAACCAUUAAGCCAUUGUGACAUUGCAAGGUCUCAUGGAAGCACCGGGCCAUUGUGACACUGCAGAAGCAAGGGAGCUUUGUAACACUCCAGGGCCUGAUGGAACCAAGGAGACCUUUAUGACACUGUGGGGUUCCACAAAACCAAGGGAACAUGGAACUGUUCUGUCUGGCUGGGCCUCCUGGGGGCUGUCUGACUGGUCCAGCUGACCUUGGCAUGUUGAGGGCUGCUUCUCAUCUGUGCCUGAAGCACUGGGGCUCUGGGAUUUAUUUCCUCUGGGAGAGAACUGUGCUUCUCCUCCAGAGGCCCACUGCCAAAAUUGGGAUUCCUCCUCCAAAUUUCCUUAUAUGCAAAUAUUGUUCCCAGAUGAAAUCUGCCAGGACAGACAGGUCUGGUUGCCUUGGCCACCUGGGUGCCUUGUCUCAUCUGCCUUUGAAACACUGGGACCAUGUGCUUUUCUUUCUUGGCCAUACUCAACCAGGCGUCUCUGGCCAAAACUGGGGAAUCUGCCUCCAGAAUUCCCUAUAUACAAGGAUAGCUUGCAGAUAAAAGCUGCCAGGACUGAUAAGUCUGACUGGCCUUGACUUCCUGAGGGUUGACACUCAUCUGCCUUUGAAACAAUGGGGCUCUGUGCUUUCCUUCCUAAUAAAAAGAACUCUUCUUCCUGUCUAGGUGCCCACAGCCAAAACUGAGAUUCCACCUCCAAAAUGCCCUAUGUCCAAGGAUAGCCCCUAGACGAAGAGUGCAAGGAGAGACAGGUGUGGCUGGCUUGACCUAAGGGUGGCCACCUCUCAUCUCCUUCCAGAACACUUGGACUUUGUGCUUUUCUUUCCUAUUGGAAAAAAACCACAUCCAUCUUGACCAGGUGCACAUGGCCAAAAUUGCGAUUCCACCUCCAAAACUCCAUACAGCCAAGAAUUGCUCCCCAGUGAAAGCAGCCAGGACAGACAGGUCUGGCUGCCCUUGGCCUCUUGGGGGCUGCCUCUCAUCUGCUUUCAAAACACUGGGGCUCUGGGUUUUCCUUCCAGUGGAAAAGAACUGUCCUUCUUCUCAAGGUGUCCACUGUCAAAAUUGAGAUUCCUCCUCCCAAAUUCCAUAUAUCCAAGGAUUCCUCCAUGACAAAAGCUUCCAAGACAGAGAGGUCUGGCUGGCAUAGGCCUCCAAUGGCCACCUUUCAUCUGUGUCUCAAACACUGGUGUUCUGUGCUUUCCUUCCUAUGAAAAUAACCAUCUUCUCCUCUGCAUGUCCAUGUCUGAAAUUGGGAUUCCACCUCUGAAAUUUUGUAUAUCCUAGGGUUGCUCCCAGGCAAAAUCUGCCAGUACCAUCAAGUCUGUCUGGCCUUGGUCCCUGGUGACUGCCCCUGAAACACUGGGGCUCAGAUCUUUCCUUCCCAUGGAGAUCAUUGGGACACUGUGGGGACCUCAUGAAACCAAGGGACCAGCCCCAGGCCGGGCCGGCUCGGCCAAGAUUCUGCCACUGUUGGGGUUCACCCACAACCACUGGGCAGGGGGAGGAGAAGCCAUUGGCCCCGGCCGUGCUGCUGCUGUGUUCUGGCCUGGCUGCUGAGAUCAUGGCCCUCCCCCCAGCGUGGCCCAUCCUGACACAGCCCCAGCACAGCCGCUGCAGAAACCUCCAUGGUAAAACAGCUCCGGCCGCAAGGACUGAGCCCAGACGCGGUCACAUAACCGUCUGCAGGCCCUGGGUGAGAUAUUAACUCUUUCAGUGCUUCCAUCCUCCCUUGAGUGAGAGAAAAGGACAAAGUGAAGGCACACAGAGGAGCAACAUGAAGACACAGAGGUCUGUUCAACCCCUUUUGGGAAAAUUGACGGUCUAGGUGUGGCUGACAUGAAACUUCCUUCCACCUGGUACAGACUACACACAAGCUGCAGACUCCUCUGUCUUCAGAAUCCUGUCCAUGACACCAAUUUAAUGUCACAAGCCAUCCUUACAAACGGGUUUCGUGAUGGUUUGUUACUGAUCUCAGGGUGCAAAAAACUGACAUGACAAGGGGGUUUGCAGUGAUAGUCAAGAACAAAUGUACCUUUAUUGAAUGACCACAGCAAAAUGCAUUAGGGAGGGGGGAAUGAGGAAAAAGGGAAAGAAUAAGGAAAAAGAGGGGGGGAAAGAAAAGGAAACAUGGAGUGACAUAGUCCUUCAAAGUCCAGUUGACAAAGUUUGUCAUAUGUGUUGCCUUAUAAGGCGUGACGACCUGGUUCCAAGGAAACGCAGCACGACGACCCAAUGCUUUUUGGGCCGUUCGGGCUAAGGACACGCAGACAUCAAUAUGAUAGACGGUCCAAGAGCCCUUUAUUGGUUUUCUCCUCAGUAUAUAUACCCUUGGUCCUCCUACCUUCCGGGGUCUGACUUUUGCCUUAUAUGGUUAGUAAGGAAACUGGGUGGAGGCCGUGUUAGGGGGGGUUACAUUCUUGGCCUUUUGUCCUGCGGCUAUCUCUUAUCUCUAGGUAGUCAGGGGAGAGAGGCCCUAUCAGGUUUCCGUGACAGCCCGAAAUCUUCCGAUCGCCUGUCCCUAUUCUCUCUGCCACACGUACGCACGUCAGGAGAGAUCUCAAAAUCUCUAGCUAACUCAGGGGUUUUUAUUAUGAUAACUCUAUUGAAAAUUGCAAAGGAGGGGGAAACAGAUACAAUAGUCCAUGUUCUCAGCAAUGGGAGAGAACCAUUGUCUUCUUGGUCCAGUGAUCAGCAAACAUCUUGGUUUGGUCAGCUUGCCUCCCCCACACACCUUCGCCCCUGUGUUAGGGUUUCAGUCUCAGUCCUUGGGAGGAAGGGGGAGCUCUUCCAUAUGGGGAUCUCAUGUCUCAGUCCUUGAGGGAGAGGCUUAUGCCAUCUCAGUCCAUCUGUCACGGUGGUUGUACAGUAGAUGAAGGGUCUUCAGUGGAGACCACCGAAAAGGUCAUUCCAGGGAAAAGUCCAGCCAAGUCGGGAGGUGGGGAAAUUCCAGAACUAGUGUUAUAAAGUGAUGCAGGCAAAGAAGGGCACAGCGCCCCUUUUCCUUUCACUGGACUCCUUUUUCCUGGGAUCAAGGACUCCCUGGAACUCCCCUCUACCUCUCCACAUCCCUGCCCCCCCCAUUUCUGUGAUCCUGAGAUCCCCCUGCACCCCCAUUCCAGAGAACCCAGACGCCCUUUUACCCCUAUGUCCAGCACUGAGACCCCCCUGCACCCCCUUAUCCAGCACCAAUUCAACCUUUUCCCGGUCCCCUGCCUCUCCCAGCCCCAGCCCCACCUUCUUCUCUGACCUGGGACCCCUGGGCCCCCAUUCCUGCCUUUCCCAGCCCCCAGCCUCUCCCCUCCUCAUACUGAGGAGCCCUGGCACCCCCUUUCCUGGAUUCCCUGGACACCCCAUCCCAGUUCUCCCAGUCCUUGCAUCCCCUGUCCUUGACUCUGAGCCCCUGAGCCUCCUUCACAGAUCUGCCAGCUCUCCACGUUCCCCCUUUCCUUGGACUGUGGACCCCCCUGGAUCCCCAAACUCUCACUUUCAGCCUCCCACCUCCCCCAAAUCUCCUUGUCCCCCCCUCCCCCCAGUUCUCCAGGAUAUUGGGAUAGCCAGAGCCGGGAUAUUGAGAUAGCCAAACCUUGGAUAUUGGGAUAGCCAGAGCUGGGAUAUUGGGAUAGCCAGAGCUGGGACAUUGGGAUAGCCAGAGCUGGGAUACUGGGAUAGCCAGAGCUGGGAUACUGGGAUAGAGAGAGCUGGCUCAAGGACAGGAACAGCCCUUUGGCCGACAGUGACCUGGAGACAGGGCUGGUACAACCAGAGUGGGGGGAGUGGGGGAAGCUGGGGGCUGAGCUGGGAUCUGUGGGAAUGGAGGACUGAGGAGCUGGGAUGUGAUCUCUGGGGAUGGGGGGAGUCUGUGGGGCUGGAAUGGAAAUCCAGGGAACUCCAAGGGGCUCUGUAGGACUGGGACACAACUCCAUGGGUCCGUUCUCUCCUCGUUCCCAGGUCUCCACACGCUGCAGGUAGUUUCCACCUGUGACUUCCUGUCCAACAGAGCAUCCAUGGAUCCUACUGGUAAGGCUACAAGAGCUGGGAUUUAAUCUCCUUCCAGCUGGGAGCCAGGAGCUUUGUAGGGUCCUAUGUUGCCACCUGGAUCACCCAGAGGUGCUGGGAAUCCAAAGGGAUCAUGGUGGAGCAGACGAAGCAUUACCUGGCACACACCUGUGUGGAAGUGCCCCAAAAUACAUCAGAUAUGGUUGGGAGGCUCUGGAGUACAAAGCAGCCACUGCCGUUUCCCG
Passer domesticus (house sparrow) is the source of this 5619-nucleotide long non-coding RNA. RefSeq lists it as uncharacterized. The transcript is spliced from 3 exons. The record is from RefSeq and is a predicted model, not a curated record. NCBI's taxonomy places the organism in Eukaryota, Metazoa, Chordata, Aves, Passeriformes, Passeridae.